GGAGCAUUCGAGUGUAGCUUUGGCUUAAGUUCCUUGGAACAGGACGUCAUAGAGGGUGAGAACCCCGUUAACGGCCGUUGUCUUAUGCUCAUGUGAAUCUCCUUCAACGAGUCGAGUUGUUUGGGAAUGCAGCUCUAAAUGGGUGGUAAAUUCCAUCUAAAGCUAAAUACUGGCAAGAGACCGAUAGCGCACAAGUAGAGUGAUCGAAAGAUGAAAAGAACUCUGAACAGAGAGUUAAAUAGUACGUGAAAUUGUUGAAAGGGAAGCACUUGCAACCAGACGCACUUGCAGCUGAUCAACCUCCAUUCUUGGAGGUGCACUCAGUUGUUUGUGGGUCAGCAUCAGUUAUGGCGGUGGGAAAAAGACCAAGGGAAUGUAGCUCCUUUCGGGGAGUGUUAUAGCCCUUGGUGUAAUGCUGCCUGCUAUGACUGAGGACUGCGCUUUGGCGAGGAUGCUGGCAUAAUGGUUGUAAGUGACCCGUCUUGAAACACGGACCAAGGAGUCUAACAUCUAUGCGAGUGUUUGGGUGUUCAAACCCUUACGCGGAAUGAAAGUAAAUGGAGGUGGGAACCGCA
RNAcentral lists this ribosomal RNA (575 nucleotides) under Ruhlandiella berolinensis. Its description in RNAcentral is "LSU rRNA". It matches the Rfam family "Eukaryotic large subunit ribosomal RNA", at positions 157 to 746 of the family's 3401-position model. Lineage: Eukaryota; Fungi; Ascomycota; Pezizomycetes; Pezizales; Pezizaceae. The record is from RNAcentral.